GCAUGGUAUUAAGGUCAAAUCUACGGAGGUUACAGAUGGGCAUGCGUGCCAUUAGCUAGAUGGUAAGGUAACGGCUUACCAUGGCAAUGAUGGCUAGGGGUUCUGCAAGGAAGGCCCCCCACACUGGUACUGAGACACGGACCAGACUCCUACGGGAGGCAGCAGUGAGGAAUAUUGGUCAAUGGAGGCAACUCUGAACCAGCCAAGCCGCGUGAAGGAAGACUGUCCUAUGGAUUGUAAACUUCUUUUGUGGCAGAAUAAACUACCGUACUUGUACGGUAUUGCAUGUAUGCCAUGAAUAAGCAUCGGCUAACUCCGUGCCAGCAGCCGCGGUAAUACGGAGGAUGCAGGCGUUAUCCGGAUUUAUUAGGUUUAAAGGGUGUUCAGGCUGCCUGGUAAGUCAGGGGUGAAAGUCGGUUGCUCAACGAUCGAAUUGCCUUUGAAACUGUCAGGCUCGAGUAUGGAUGCGGUAGGCGGAAUGUGUAGUGUAGCGGUGAAAUGCAUAGAUAUUACACAGAACACCGAUUGCGAAGGCAGCUUACCAAACCAGCACUGACGCUGAAGCACGAAAGCGUGGGGAGCGAACAGGAUUAGAUACCCUGGUAGUCCACGCCGUAAACUUUGCUCACUCGCUGUUGGCGAUAGACAGUCAGCGG
Molecule: ribosomal RNA, 656 nt
Filed under: uncultured organism
Description: bacterial SSU rRNA
Rfam family: Bacterial small subunit ribosomal RNA
Source: RNAcentral